AGAGCCGGCACCGCGCUGCGGCCGCCCCCGCACGGAGCUUCGCAGCGUCCUGCAGACUCGGGCAGAGCCGGUGCUUGGAGACACGAGUGUCCCGCGGAAAUCACCCGAGCCCAGCUCUGCCCGCGCGUUUGCUUGUAAUAGCUGCCUAGCAGUAAAGCUGUCCUCGAAAAACUCUUUGCUCACGUAAGUGAGGAGAAAAUGAAGAGAAAGAGCUCGUCUGUUGGGCAGCCGGGUCUAACGGCAGCCGGCAAAAGAACAUGUCAGUAAAGCCUGAGCCAGGCAGGGGGAGUUGGCAGCGUGGGUGUUUUCCAUUCGAAGCCCCGGGAGGAAAUAACGUGCCCUCCUUCUUGGCUGGGGAGAAAAAAGGCAGGCAUUUCUCUUGCAGUCAUCACCGCAGAACCUGAACAUCUCAGUCUAUUAAAGUGUGCCUGCAAAGGCAUAAAGCAUUAGUGAAGACCCACUUGUGUGUUGGACUCUACUUUUAUGAAAGCUAAAUGUACAAUCCAAGGGGCAUUUACUGGACAAGCAUUUUGGAAAGGAGAACUAAGAAAAAAAAAUCACCUUGAGGAAUUUCUGAAUUUUUUUGGCAUCUUAAAUGGUAUGCAACACACCUUUACUUUAUCCUCUAAUUCAAUUAAGAUUUAUGCCAUCAGCUAGGAUAGAAGUGUAGUUCUGCCCAUAUCAUGACCCUAACAUGAAAAGUUACACAUGGACUUAGUCUACAAGCCUGGAAGCUAGCCACUCUGUCUGGGAAUAUUUAUGCAUAUGACUAAACACGCACAUACUCAUCUAUUAAUAUGUUUACAGAAGCAGACCUUACAUAAUCUAAAAUUAUUGCAGGAUAAUUUUGCUAUUACUAAUCGUGUGGUCUAAAACCAGAUUGUUUAUUCUUUUGUUAGUAUUUGAAUAACAAUAAUAGGAUAUGUUACCUUAAUGGACAUUAAUUGUACUUACUUUUCCAACAAGUAUGUUAGAUUACUUUUUAAAUUCUUUGCUAGAAACAAAUGGAAUUGAAAGAAUUUGUGGUCAUUAGAUGAAUCCAAUUCACAGAUAUUUUAAAUAUUUGGUGAAAAUACAAUAAAUGUCUGGAGUAAUAGUUUCUAUGUCUGUUGUUAAAUUCGUCUGUCAUUUAAAAUUAAAUGUAUCUAAUUCCAGAAAGUAUUUUUCAUCCAUUAUUAAAAUACCAGAUUUCAAUAAAAAUAUAAGAGUUCCAGUAGCAACACUGAGCAUUCCAAGUUGCCUUUAUUGUGUGCAUAUAUAUAGUCUCAGCUUUGAUCAAGUUCAAAAGGCAAAAUAUGGUCUGACUCUGGAGGGAUUUGUCCUUUUCCUUUCUGAAAUACCAUAGAACACUUAGGUGUCCUUCAGUGCUGUGACCCUGCAAUUGGCAGCACCUUCACAAGCCUCGGCUCCAGGGAAGAUGUCGGGGUGGCCAGGUCCAGGACUCUCCAGCUGGAUAUUCCCCAGCACUAGUGUUGUGAUGAGGGAGGACAGACCUAGUGUGCAAAAAGUUAUAUGGAAAUGGGAUGCACCCUCCUCUUCAGGGACACACAGGAAACAGAAAAGAUAAACCAGCACCCGAAAGCCUGAUCAAAACACCAGAAAAACAGCGAUCAGCAGGAUAAUCUACUAAUGAACUGCUGUGUUGGCAGCUGGCUUGGUGUCAGGCUGUUCUACCUUUUGUUUUAAUAACCUAGCUGAAGAGGCUUAGCCUCCAACAUUGACAUUGAAACUUGGCUGGCCAGCAGACACCUCUACCAUUGAAAAUCUGUAAGGUUGUUUCCAAAAGUUUUGUCCUGCAGCCCAGCGAAUUCCUGCCGGUGAAAGACUUCAGGAGAACAUUGCUUCUCUUGAUGACUGUGCCCACCAGAAGCAAACACGUUACCCUGGCCUAGCACCUGGGUGAGUGAGAAGCCCAAAGGCUUUACCGCUGACCAUCUCUCACAGAUGAUGACCUCUUCCAAUAACACAUCCUUGUUUUUCUCUUAGGUAUUCAGUCUCUGGUACUACAGCAAAGAUACCACAGUGGCGUCAGCCUACCUCAGGGCCAAAUUUUAAUACCUUUUCUGCUCAAGAUGGGAAGUAGUAAAAUCACUUGUAGAGGAAUGUGUUUAUUUAACAGUAACAGAUAUGGAUCUUACCAGUUCAUUCUAAGUGAAUCAGUAUUUGCAUCUCUGUGGUAAUAAUUUCCUAAUUUAAUUUUUGUACACAAAGCAUGUAUUAUGCAGUCCUUAUGUUCCAUCUAUUAUUUCAGCCACCAUUAUCAUUUUAUGAUUUGUUUUUGUAACUGUUGGUAAUUGCACAAGAGACAAGUUAACAAAUUAAGCUGCUUUGCAGUUAAGGUUGGGGCAAGCUGUCUGAUUUCCUGUAUCUGAGAUGGGACAUAUCUGCUCGUGUCACUGCUCUCGUGUCAUGUCACCCAAACAUGCCUUCACUGAUACGUAAGGUUGUCAUUUAACAGCUGACACUUAGCUGCAGUUCCUGCUUCUGGCUACUUGAUGUUUUUAUCUCAUUCAUAGUUAUAAUUAUUAUGACAAGUGCAAGUUGUUCCACAGUGACAGCAUUGUUUUUUUAGUGACAGCGUUUAUUUUAGUUAUAAUGUGCCUGUAGCUGGGUCCUGUCCAUGGCAUUGGAAAUCAAAGUCAUUGAUAAUCACGGAGCUAUUCACUUCAGUGAAAUAAUGUUAAGUAUUUAUAAUGAAAUAAAAUAGGAUGUAAGGUACUAGGCAGAAUUAAAGGCAGCAAUCCAGACAACAACUUUUUUGAUGAAACUAUUUCUGUGGGAGAAAAAAUG
Long non-coding RNA from Haliaeetus leucocephalus (bald eagle), 2790 nucleotides. RefSeq lists it as uncharacterized. The transcript has 3 exons. NCBI's taxonomy places the organism in Eukaryota, Metazoa, Chordata, Aves, Accipitriformes, Accipitridae. The record is from RefSeq and is a predicted model, not a curated record.